GGGCUCGUAGUCGAGUGGUAAGACGCCGCCUUCGCAAGGCGGAGACCGCGGGUUCAAUUCCCGCCGAGUCCA
This 72-nucleotide transfer RNA is filed under the name Microcaldota archaeon. RNAcentral's name for it is "tRNA-Ala". It matches the Rfam family "tRNA". From Rfam's summary of the family: Transfer RNA (tRNA) molecules are approximately 80 nucleotides in length. The record is from RNAcentral. RNAcentral also lists the same sequence under 1 other name. Lineage: Archaea; Nanobdellati; Microcaldota.